Molecule: unclassified non-coding RNA, 328 nt
Filed under: Hevea brasiliensis (rubber tree)
Lineage: Eukaryota; Viridiplantae; Streptophyta; Magnoliopsida; Malpighiales; Euphorbiaceae
Source: RNAcentral
GUUGAAGUAUCUCCUUUCAACAAUGUUUUGCUAACAAGAAAUCCCUUCACACGUUCCACAAUCUCUUCUAUAAGUGAACUGCUUGGUGGUAGGUUCUUCAGGAUAACCUGGUUGUCAAUGACUCUGACUCUCAGGUAUUCUUGCUUAUACAAUGUAUCUAACAUGGCUUGGAGAUACCCUUCAAUGUAUAGCUCAUCAACCCCAGGACUUCGAUCAAGCCCAAUUUUUCGAUCAGGGCCACCUUCCAUGAAAGCACUCCCCAGUAAUGUAGGUUCCAUUGCCAAUUUAAGUAUUCCUUGAUGGAAACCAUUCACCAUUCCAUUUAAAC